AUCUCCUGCUGUUUUAAUAAAAGGACAGAGGACGAGAGGAACCUAUUUUUCACCAACUGCUCCAUUUAUUACAAGAGAAGAUAAGAAAAGAGCUACAGAGUGCCUCGUUAUAAACAGAAACGUAACAUUUCGUAUCAAAUAUCUGUAAAUAAAUGAAGUAAAGAGCUAGCUAAAUACAUAAAACACGUCUAAUAAUAAUCAGUGUGAAUUAAAUCUGUAGAUUUGAGUUCAAUGUCGGUUUAGUAUUUAAUCAGGCUUAAAGCUUCUCCGUGUAGAAACACAUUGUUAUGUGUUUAUAUACAGUAGCACGCACUGGGGGAACCAUUCAAGGUGUUGGAGGGUUCCAGAAAGAACCUUUUUCAGAACAGGGUACUCUUUCACAACAAUCAUUCCACUUAGAACCUCGUCGAUGCAGCAGAGGUUUUGCUGGGAAUUUUAAAUCAACAAGGCAACUGGACGACAACAUACACGGUUAGAGAAAAGGGUUCUUUAAAUAAUUAAGGGUUUAAGCUUCGUUAUACGGGUCCCACUUGGGUUCUCUGAUAGGAAACCUUGUUUUCAUAGAACCUUCGAAGGUUCCUCCAAAGGAGGCAAGAUGGGACGUGCUAGAUGGGACCUUCCUGUCUAAGAGCAUUAUUUAAAGAAAGAUGCCAAGAUUUGAGUUAAAUCUUUAAAAAUGUGUCCAUUUUGGACCUCAUGGAUGCAGCAAAGGUUCUACUUGGAACUUUAGGUGACUGUCACUGAACAACUAUGUACUGUUCACUCUUGAAAAUAAAAGAGUUCUUGAAGAGUUCUAAAGAGGCUCUAUUCAGAAGGUUGUAGGGUUCUUUAUAGAACCUUUAAGGGUUCCUCCAGUGGGGCAAACUGAGAAACACUUAAGAGUGCUAUUACUUCAGCCCCUGUGUGGUAUCUUUUUAUGGGGGAUAUAAGAGUUUUCAGAGUGAAAAAAAAAUUCCCCAAAUCUACCUUUAUUUUCCUCUGUGCAUUAAACAGAGCCACGAGGCUCCGGUGCGUACGGAUGAUAUUUUAUUAAGCUGCCAUUUUCUCUGAGUUGUUUUGUCUCUCUCAAGGUAACAUUGUGACUCAUUACUGAACUAUAACAAGGUCCCUGUGUGCGCUUGGGUACUGAUGUAACAAGCGGCAGCCAGACGCAGUAAUAUCUUACAGAACAGCGCCUUGGAUAGAAAAUAUACAAGAAUCACGGCCCGGAUCCACGUCUAGAGUGAAAACACAGCCAGAGAGAACCAACUGUGUUCUUUAUUAAAGCAGACAGACAGAGGGCAGGACCAAAGACAGCUUUGACAGUCAUGCCUGAGAAUCAUUGAGGACUAAAGACAAGCAAAAGGACAUAAACAGGCAUCAGAUGAAAAUCGGGACGCUUACAGGAAGUAAAUGAAGGUAGAUGGUGUAGGGCUCAGCCAGGUCAGGUGAGAUAGGGCAGGUGAGGCAAGGUAGGGAAGUGUGGCAGGGUUAAUAGGGUUGGCAAGAAAUGUAAGAUCGGGCAGGGAGAGGCAAGGUGGGGCAAGGGAGGAUAAGGAAAGGCAGGGUGAGGGGUGGGAUUAUAGGGCAAGGGAGAGAAAGAUGUGCAGUGUGAGGGAAGAAAAGGCUGGGUGAGGUAGGGUAAAACGGGGCAAUGCAGGGUGAGGUAGGGGAAGGCAUGUCAAGGUAGCGCAAGAUGGGGCAGGGUGAGGUAGGGAAAGUGGGGUGAGAUAGGGCAAGAUGGGGCAGGGCGAGGUAGUCAAAGGCAGGGUGAGAUAGAGUAAGAUGGGGCAGAGUGUCAUGAGGUAGGGAAAAGUGGGGUGAGAUAGGGCAAGAUGGGGCAGGGUGGGGAAUGGCAGGCAAAGGCGGGACGAGAAAGGGGCAAUAUGGGCAGCACGGAGAAUGGCAGAGAAAGGUGGGAUGAGAGGGAAAGAUGGGGCAAGGUCGGGGUGAGGUACGCAAUGGUGAGGGGAGAUAGAUCAAGAUAGGGCAGGAUGAGGCAAGGUGGUAUGAGAUAGGGCAAGUUGGGGUGAGGGUGGGGCAGAGUGGGGCAAGGUUAGGUUCAUAUUAAUGAAUGAAAUUGUGAAAGUCCUAAAUUGUCAAAAUAACGUUGUUGAUUAAUAUUGUAUACUUAUAUAUGAUGUCUAUAUUGGUUUAUUACUCUUGGUUUCAGGCGAAUUUUAAACUAAACUUUCUGUUCCUAGUCAUCACCUCCAUCAGGAUGGAUUUCUGUGGCACUUUUUACUCGAGGAUGCUUUUUCCUGACAUGGUGUGAACAGAUAUUUUAUGUAGGACUUUGCUCUCGCUGUUGUCCUGCUCGCUUUGUCUCUGAGGACCCUCGGCCUGAUUUCUUAUAUGAAAGUGUUAUAUUAAGCCCCGUGGCAUGAUAAAGCUAAUAUUAGUCCACUCUUCAUGUAGCAUAUGUAUGAAUAUUUCAAAUCUAACCUAGAGGCGGAGUGAGGAAAUGAUCUGGAUCUCAGACCUGUCACGUAGACAUGGCUUUCUCUCAGUUUUCAUACUACUCACAACGUUUUCAAAGAUGAUGACAUUAAAUACAGUAUAACACCGCAAAAAGUCAUUGCUAUAAAUUAUUCAGCAGCUACAGUGAACUUAGUCCUGUCUCUUUUGGGCGUGGCCUGUUUUUUUUUUUUUGGUUCCAAUGUGAAAUGCUGGUAGCUAGGAAUAGCUUAUAAAGCGAACUGGAGAUGUACACGGUAGUGUGAUAUACUUGUUACGUUCUCGGCUUCGUACUAGCAUCGUUCUGAGAUUAGAUUAGCAAAACGAGCUAACUGUACAAGCUAGGUACCCUGCGGAACCACCGAUCUUUGCUACGUCCUUUCAGCUUUAUUUUUCUUCGUAACGACUCUAUACACAUUUAACGAGAGGGUGUAUAUGACAGAGUAACAAGAAAAACAGUUUUUUUUCUGAAGAAAUGUUGGACUACACGCGUCUUAGGAUCGAUCCCAGGCAUCUUUGGAGAAGUAUUAAAUUUGUUGGUUUACAGUGUCAUACCUAAUUUGCAUAGAAUUGAGAAAAUCUUGAAAACUUAUCCUGGAAGAGACCCCUCCCAUCAGGAUAGAAAUACUACAUUAUGAGAUGAUGUUAAGUCAGAAGAACUGUAUAAGAACCAUGCAAGCGAAAAUAAAUGCCCCCCCCCCCCCCCAACCCCCACAGCAUAACAGAGUGCGUGAGCGUGUUUUAUCUGUGUAAAGUGAAACUUCUAUAGUGUUUGGUUCGGCUCGGGCUAGAUUACUCCCUGAUGGGCGAUCAUUCUCUCUCUCGCUCAUCGUGACAUGUGUAUCAGCCGUGUAUCUCCCACUGACCGGCUGAAUCGAUGCGGUUUCAAUUAAAGAGACCUGCUGUUCCCUCCACAUGAACCUGCUGGACUCACACAGAGAGCAGCGCUGAUCCGACUGAAC
Long non-coding RNA from Ictalurus punctatus (channel catfish), 3398 nucleotides. The record is from Ensembl. Lineage: Eukaryota; Metazoa; Chordata; Actinopteri; Siluriformes; Ictaluridae.